GCCUGCGUGGUGUAGUGGUCAGCACGCUCGACGCGUAUUCGAGAGGUCCAUGGUUCGAGUCCCAGCGAGGGCA
This 73-nucleotide transfer RNA is filed under the name Stegodyphus mimosarum. It matches the Rfam family "tRNA". Rfam says of the family: Transfer RNA (tRNA) molecules are approximately 80 nucleotides in length. Lineage: Eukaryota; Metazoa; Arthropoda; Arachnida; Araneae; Eresidae. The record is from Rfam by way of RNAcentral.